This 458-nucleotide ribosomal RNA is filed under the name uncultured bacterium. Its description in RNAcentral is "partial 16S ribosomal RNA". It matches the Rfam family "Bacterial small subunit ribosomal RNA", at positions 338 to 795 of the family's 1533-position model. The record is from RNAcentral.
CCUACGGGAGGCAGCAGUGAGGAAUAUUGGUCAAUGGGCGAGAGCCUGAACCAGCCAAGUCGCGUGAGGGAGUACUGCCCUAUGGGUUGUAAACCUCUUUUGUCGGGGAGCAAAAGCCGGACGUGUCCGGCUGUGAGAGUACCCGAAGAAAAAGCAUCGGCUAACUCCGUGCCAGCAGCCGCGGUAAUACGGAGGAUGCGAGCGUUUUCCGGAUUUAUUGGGGUUAAAGGGUGCGCAGGCGGAUUGUUAAGUCAGCGGUCAAAUCGUGGGGCUCAACCCCAUCCAGCCGUUGAAACUGGGGAUCUAGAGUGGGCGAGAGGUAUGCGGAAUGCGUGGUGUAGCGGUGAAAUGCAUAGAUAGCACGCAGAACCCCGAUUGCGAAGGCAGCAUACCGGUGCACAACUGACGCUCAGGCACGAAAGCGUGGGUAUCGAACAGGAUUAGAUACCCCAGUAGUC